This 65-nucleotide transfer RNA is filed under the name Chamaepsila testudinaria. RNAcentral's name for it is "tRNA-Ile". Lineage: Eukaryota; Metazoa; Arthropoda; Insecta; Diptera; Psilidae. The record is from RNAcentral.
AAUGAAUUGCCUGACAAAAGGAUUACUUUGAUAGAGUAAAACAUGUAAUUUGAUUACAUUCAUUA